Molecule: ribosomal RNA, 237 nt
Filed under: uncultured Glomeromycotina
Lineage: Eukaryota; Fungi; Glomeromycota
Description: partial small subunit ribosomal RNA
Rfam family: Eukaryotic small subunit ribosomal RNA (bases 46-237)
Source: RNAcentral
GGAUCAAUUUAUUGGUCGUGCUAUUGUACGUACUGGUAUUAUUGAUUCCUAUCUUCUGACGAACCAUGAUGUCAUUAAUUUGGUGUCAUGGGGAAUCAGGACUGUUACUUUGAAAAAAUUAGAGUGUUUAAAGCAGGCUCACGCUUGAAUACAUUAGCAUGGAAUAACGAAAUAGGACGUUUGAUUCUAUUUUGUUGGUUUCUAGGAUCGAUAUAAUGAUUAAUAGGGAUAGUUGGG